This 338-nucleotide unclassified non-coding RNA is filed under the name soil metagenome. RNAcentral describes it as "partial contains 5.8S ribosomal RNA, internal transcribed spacer 2, and large subunit ribosomal RNA". The stretch from base 1 to 120 matches the Rfam family "5.8S ribosomal RNA", at positions 35 to 154 of the family's 154-position model. The record is from RNAcentral.
GAUGAAGAACGCAGCGAAAUGCGAUAAGUAAUGUGAAUUGCAGAAUUCAGUGAAUCAUCGAAUCUUUGAACGCACAUUGCGCCCGGUAGUAUUCUGCCGGGCAUGCCUGUUCGAGCGUCAUUUCAACCAUCAAGCUCCAGCGCUUGUGUUGGGGGCCUGCGGCUGCCGCAGCCCCCUAAAAGCAGUGGCGGGCUCGCUAUCACACCGAGUGCAGUAGUUCAUCUUCUCUCCGGUCUUGUGAGGCGGGUUCCGGCCGUGAAACACCCCACUACAUUCAAGGUUGACCUCGGAUCAGGUAGGAAUACCCGCUGAACUUAAGCAUAUCAAUAAGCAGAGGA